RNAcentral lists this ribosomal RNA (530 nucleotides) under uncultured Atopobium sp. RNAcentral's name for it is "bacterial SSU rRNA". It matches the Rfam family "Bacterial small subunit ribosomal RNA", at positions 995 to 1528 of the family's 1533-position model. The record is from RNAcentral. Lineage: Bacteria; Bacillati; Actinomycetota; Coriobacteriia; Coriobacteriales; Atopobiaceae.
AAGCGGCGGAAACGUCGUGGCCGAGAGGAGCCUGAACAGGUGGUGCAUGGCUGUCGUCAGCUCGUGUCGUGAGAUGUUGGGUUAAGUCCCGCAACGAGCGCAACCCUCGUCGCAUGUUGCCAGCGGUUCGGCCGGGCACCCAUGCGAGACCGCCGGCGUUAAGCCGGAGGAAGGUGGGGACGACGUCAAGUCAUCAUGCCCCUUAUGUCCUGGGCUGCACACGUGCUACAAUGGUCGGCACAAUGGGCUGCCAGCCCGCGAGGGCGAGCGAAUCCCUAAAGCCGGCCCCAGUUCGGAUUGGAGGCUGCAACCCGCCUCCAUGAAGUCGGAGUUGCUAGUAAUCGCGGAUCAGCACGCCGCGGUGAAUGCGUUCCCGGGCCUUGUACACACCGCCCGUCACACCACCCGAGUCGAUUGCACCCGAAGUCGCCGGCCCAACCCGCAAGGGAGGGAGGCGCCGAAGGUGUGGUUGGUAAGGGGGGUGAAGUCGUAACAAGGUAGCCGUACGAGAACGUGCGGCUGGAUCACCU